CAGCAGCCGCGGUAAUACGGAGGGUGCAAGCGUUAUCCGGAAUCAUUGGGUUUAAAGGGUCCGUAGGCGGUCUUGUAAGUCAGUGGUGAAAGCCCAUCGCUCAACGGUGGAACGGCCAUUGAUACUGCAGGACUUGAAUUAUUGGGAAGUAACUAGAAUAUGUAGUGUAGCGGUGAAAUGCUUAGAGAUUACAUGGAAUACCAAUUGCGAAGGCAGGUUACUACCAAUUGAUUGACGCUGAUGGACGAAAGCGUGGGUAGCGAACAGGAUUAGAUACCCGCGUAGUCCCUGUCUCUUAUAA
RNAcentral lists this ribosomal RNA (301 nucleotides) under uncultured bacterium. RNAcentral's name for it is "partial 16S ribosomal RNA". It matches the Rfam family "Bacterial small subunit ribosomal RNA", at positions 509 to 809 of the family's 1533-position model. The record is from RNAcentral.